CCAAGUUUUUAAGGGCGCACGGUGGAUGCCUUGGCACCAGGAACCGAUGAAGGACGUGGGAGGCCACGAUAGUCCCCGGGGAGCCGUCAACCAGGCUUUGAUCCGGGGGUUUCCGAAUGGGGAAACCCGGCAGUCGUCAUGGGCUGUCACCCAUGCCUGAACACAUAGGGCAUGUGGAGGGAACGAGGGGAAGUGAAACAUCUCAGUACCCUCAGGAAGAGAAAACAACCGUGAUUCCGGGAGUAGUGGCGAGCGAAACCGGAUGAGGCCAAACCGUAUGCGUGUGAUACCCGGCAGGGGUUGCGCAUGCGGGGUUGUGGGAUCUCUCUUUCACAGUCUGCCGGCUGUGAGACGAGUCAGAAACCGUUGAUGUAGGCGAAGGACAUGCGAAAGGUCCGGCGUAGAGGGUAAGACCCCCGUAGCUGAAACAUUAACGGCUCGUUUGAGAGACACCCAAGUAGCACGGGGCCCGAGAAAUCCCGUGUGAAUCUGGCGGGACCACCCGCUAAGCCUAAAUAUUCCCUGGUGACCGAUAGCGGAUAGUACCGUGAGGGAAUGGUGAAAAGUACCGCGGGAGCGGAGUGAAAUAGUACCUGAAACCGUGUGCCUACAAGCCGUGGGAGCGUCGGAUACAGCUUGCUGUAUCUCGUGACUGCGUGCCUUUUGAAGAAUGAGCCUGCGAGUUUGCGGUGCGUUGCGAGGUUAACCCGUGUGGGGAAGCCGUAGCGAAAGCGAGUCCGAAUAGGGCGAUUCAGUAGCGCGCUCAAGACCCGAAGCGGAGUGAUCUAGCCAUGGGCAGGUUGAAGCGGAGGUAAGACUUCGUGGAGGACCGAACCCACCAGGGUUGAAAACCUGGGGGAUGACCUGUGGUUAGGGGUGAAAGGCCAAUCAAACUCCGUGAUAGCUGGUUCUCCCCGAAAUGCAUUUAGGUGCAGCGUCGUGUGUUUCUUGCCGGAGGUAGAGCACUGGAUAGGCGAUGGGCCCUACCGGGUUACUGACCUUAGCCAAACUCCGAAUGCCGGUAAGUGAGAGCACGGCAGUGAGACUGUGGGGGAUAAGCUCCAUGGUCGAGAGGGAAACAGCCCAGAGCAUCGACUAAGGCCCCUAAGCGUACGCUAAGUGGGAAAGGAUGUGGAGUCGCAGAGACAACCAGGAGGUUGGCUUAGAAGCAGCCACCCUUGAAAGAGUGCGUAAUAGCUCACUGGUCAAGUGAUUCCGCGCCGACAAUGUAGCGGGGCUCAAGCGUACCGCCGAAGUCGUGUCAUUGCAGCGUAUAGCCCCAACGGGUGUUGUGAUGGGUAGGGGAGCGUCGUGUGCCGGGUGAAGCAGCCGCGGAAGCGAGUUGUGGACGGUUCACGAGUGAGAAUGCAGGCAUGAGUAGCGAUACACACGUGAGAAACGUGUGCGCCGAUUGACUAAGGGUUCCUGGGUCAAGCUGAUCUGCCCAGGGUAAGUCGGGACCUAAGGCGAGGCCGACAGGCGUAGUCGAUGGACAACCGGUUGAUAUUCCGGUACCCGCUUUGAAACGCCCAUGGGGUGACGCAGGAAGGUAGUCCAGCCCGGGCGGUGGUAGUCCCGGGGUAAGGGUGUAGGGCGUUGUCCAGGUAAAUCCGGACAGCACAUAGCCUGAGACCUGAUGCCGAGCCGAUUGUGGUGAAGUGGAUGAUCCUAUGCUGUCGAGAAAAGCCUCUAGCGAGUUUCAUGGCGGCCCGUACCCUAAACCGAGCCCCCGUAACUUCGGGAGAAGGGGGGCCAUCACUGGUGAUCGGAUUUACUCCGUGAGCUGGGGGUGGCCGCAGAGACCAGCGAGAAGCGACUGUUUACUAAAAACACAGGUCCGUGCGAAGCCGUAAGGCGAUGUAUACGGACUGACGCCUGCCCGGUGCUGGAACGUUAAGGGGACCGGUUAGUCACAUUUCGGUGUGGCGAAGCUGAGAACUUAAGCGCCAGUAAACGGCGGUGGUAACUAUAACCAUCCUAAGGUAGCGAAAUUCCUUGUCGGGUAAGUUCCGACCUGCACGAAUGGCGUAACGACUUCUCGACUGUCUCAACCAUAGGCCCGGUGAAAUUGCACUACGAGUAAAGAUGCUCGUUUCGCGCAGCAGGACGGAAAGACCCCGGGACCUUUACUACAGUUUGAUAUUGGUGUUCGGUUCGGCUUGUGUAGGAUAGGUGGGAGACUUUGAAGCCGUGACGCCAGUCAUGGUGGAGUCGCCGUUGAAAUACCACUCUGGUCGUGCUGGAUGUCUAACCUCGGUCCGUGAUCCGGAUCAGGGACAGUGUCUGAUGGGUAGUUUAACUGGGGCGGUUGCCUCCCAAAGGGUAACGGAGGCGCCCAAAGGUUCCCUCAGCCUGGUUGGCAAUCAGGUGUUGAGUGUAAGUGCACAAGGGAGCUUGACUGUGAGACCGACGGGUCGAGCAGGGACGAAAGUCGGGACUAGUGAUCCGGCGGUGGCUUGUGGAAGCGCCGUCGCUCAACGGAUAAAAGGUACCCCGGGGAUAACAGGCUGAUCUUCCCCAAGAGUCCAUAUCGACGGGAUGGUUUGGCACCUCGAUGUCGGCUCGUCGCAUCCUGGGGCUGGAGUCGGUCCCAAGGGUUGGGCUGUUCGCCCAUUAAAGCGGUACGCGAGCUGGGUUUAGAACGUCGUGAGACAGUUCGGUCCCUAUCCGCUGCGCGCGUAGGAAUAUUGAGAAGGGCUGUCCCUAGUACGAGAGGACCGGGACGGACGAACCUCUGGUGUGCCAGUUGUCCUGCCAAGGGCAUGGCUGGUUGGCUACGUUCGGGAGGGAUAACCGCUGAAAGCAUCUAAGCGGGAAGCCUGCUUCGAGAUGAGUAUUCCCACCUCCUUGAGAGGGUAAGGCUCCCAGUAGACGACUGGGUUGAUAGGCCGGAUGUGGAAGCCCAGUAAUGGGUGGAGCUGACCGGUACUAAUAGGCCGAGGGCUUGUCCUC
Molecule: ribosomal RNA, 2952 nt
Filed under: Streptomyces exfoliatus
Lineage: Bacteria; Bacillati; Actinomycetota; Actinomycetes; Kitasatosporales; Streptomycetaceae
Description: bacterial LSU rRNA
Rfam family: Bacterial large subunit ribosomal RNA
Source: RNAcentral